This 21-nucleotide microRNA is filed under the name Arabidopsis lyrata. RNAcentral's name for it is "aly-miR853-3p". Its record names the gene aly-miR853-3p. The record is from miRBase by way of RNAcentral. Lineage: Eukaryota; Viridiplantae; Streptophyta; Magnoliopsida; Brassicales; Brassicaceae.
CAACCGGAAAGGGGAGCAGCA